GACUCGCCAGCCCAUUUAGUUGCCAGCAAACGGUGUAACGUUGUAAUCAGCACAGAUAGUGACCAAGGUGAUGUGGUCUUUAUCUGAUAAUAACGCAGUGGUCUUUAUCCGAUGCUGCACUCAUCACAUCCUCUGACGGACUUUGACUGGGCGAAUUUAACCGGACGGGAAUAAAGUCGAUGGAUUUGUUGGGCUGGCCAAUCGAGUCGGACGGAAAGACCAGAGUUCCAUGUCUAAUAUUUUCAAUUCAAUCCAAUUACUCUAAUAUAAUUAAUGAUACAUUUUAGUUGAAACAAAAUAGAUAAAAACCGAUUGUUUUAUUGUUUGAGCGGUUUUUAAUUAUUGUGGGAUAUUGACUUUUUUUAAAUCGAUAUUUUAUUUUUAUGGCUAACGAUUAGUGUCGUCUGCUUUUUCCUGUUCUGUACUCUUUUUUUUUCUCUCGACAAAGCAUGAGACAAAGAAACCACGUUUAAGAUCACAAAGAAAAUGGAAUUUUUUGGAAACAAAUUUACACGAAAGAUUAAGAACAUCACAAAAAUGUGAUCGUCGUUUUCAUCAUGUUAACUCUGGAGUUCGCGACUCUCCAAUCUCCAUGCUGUUUUGGCAGAUUUGGGGCCGGAGCCUACCAUCACAAAGAAAAGAUGUGCAAGUUUUGCUUGUGCAUCACCAAUCACAUGUCUUCAAUCACCUGCCAUCAGCAACAAUCUCUGUGUCAUCGCUAAUGAUAACCAGCAUCCCGUUUGAGUGGAGAAACAACCGAUGUCGGUCGAGUUCUUCCCCUUUCUCUACUCGUGUACAUGUGAAUGCAUGGAUGUAUUCACCAGGACGUCCUUUUAACUAUCUUUUCUGGUGGAUUCUGUGGAUUUGGAACUUCUAUGGAAUGUGGGGUGCCUGCCUGUAUUCCCCAGGCUUCAAGAUAAACAGCUUUUUGAUUGGAGAAACUACCGAUGCCGGGUGACUCAUCUCUUCUUUCCCUUUCUUUAAAUGUCCAAGUGUAUGCCCAUGUGAGUGUGGGUAUAUUCACGAGGACCUCCUUUUUCCUAUCCCGUCUCCUGGAUUCUGCGGAUGGAGCACCUGUGGAUGCCUGGCCAUAUUUCCCAGGCUUAAAGGGCUAAAUGUACCAGCUUGAGUUGUCUUCGAGCAGUCAAUUGGGAUACUCAGAUGCCGUCUUCUUUUCCUUCACCCGUGAUUACCAAAAUAUGCAAGGAGGAUUAGAAAAAGGACCUGUGUACCGACCGAAUGCUAUAUCACAAGGGACGACAUCACCUGCAGAAGAUGAGCCAUUGAAUUUACUUCUGUCCGGAUCGUCACCUGCAUUGCCAUGAGCCGCUGGUCAAGCUCAAGGAAUUUUACAUGAGACAUUUCACGUCAAUGCCAUUUUCUCGCGGUAAACGAAAGCAGCUCCAACUACAGAAACAAUUACAAUGAAUUUGAUGGGUGUUUUUCUAUUGAGUGUAAACUAUAGGCUAGUCUUUAAUAACAAGUCUUUUAAACUGGUAACUUACUGGUUUGAUCAGUCGUCAUUCUUUGUGCGUGUAGAAUUUAGACGUGAACUUGAUGGAGAGAAAAGCUUAGACGUUACGGCUGAGUGUGACUCGCUAGCUGUGCUGCUGAACGAUGCUGCCGAGUUCCUUUUAACGCCUCUUCUUGUCAUCGACGACUCUGCUGCGUUUAUAUCCUCCUCCAUCGUAAGUUUCGUAGUGUUCGCCGAGCCCCCCCUCCACCCCAACCACGAAAAAUGAAACGUAAUUCCUGUGUCAUCGGCCACCACCCCCCUUCUAGCGAUAAAAAUAAUAAAUAAAUCAAUAAUAUGCCCAAGUCUUCAAUUUUGGUCUCUCUGUCAUUUGCAUCCGUCCGUAGAUGUUCGAUCUUGCUGGCUAUACCUUUACAACGGUCGCCAUAAACUUUUUAUGAACACUCUACGUAGUUUAUCAGCACGAAACUGUCUGCCUAACCCUUUAAGCAGAUUCUUCUUUACGAUCCGACUCUAAACUGACCUAACGCUCCCUCAACCUAAUACAUGAAAGAAUUAUCUAUAUUAUUGUGUGAAAUGAAUUUGUGUCGCAGUCGGUGAUAAGCUCGGGACUUGUUUUGAAUUGUGAAAGUCGACUUUAAAUUUAUCCCCUUUAUGGUUUUCUCUGUCAUUGACGUUAUUGAGAGCUUAGAGGCAAUACCAAUGUGGUGAACACUUGACGCCAGCAACUUUAAACUAAACGAACUUUAAACUAAACUAAACUGAUCUUUUAACUAAACGAAUUAAAUAAAUUACGAUGAUCAUUUCAAGUCGCCACUGGAUCCGAUUGACCAUUUUCCGCUCGAGUUUCUUUUUCUUCCGCAAUCCUCUCGUGAUCUUCAAUCUUGGCUUGUAAUUUCUUACUGGCCUUCAGCGUAUUCCACGACACGAAUCUAAUAAUAUAUAAAUAUUUGGUUAUAACUUAAGAAUGAACUGAAGGUGCAUUAACUAAUAAAUAAGGCGUUAUUUGAAAAAAGAGAAAUAUGCUCGUGGCCAUGAUUUUUAUAAUGUGCCUUUAUAAAAACGAAUAUCCCCCGUUGAUACCUUGCCAUCGUUCGAGUUGAAUGUCAAUUUGUAGUCCGGGACAUCCGUAGACGAAGAAGACGACCACGAGAAAUGCUUGGAGAAACGUCCACCCCUUAUAUGUUUUUUUUUAAUGAAAACGGGUUUCCAAUCCUGAAAAAAACGUUGAAUAUAUUCAAUAUUGUUUUAUAACCACUCCGUCUUUAUCCGUUCCGUUUUCUUGUUUACCUCAGCUGACCUGAAGGAAAUUGAGCUGAUCAAUUUCCCAUUCACAUCCGAUGAUGCGAGAAACCGCCCGUCGGGUGAAAACGACAGCCAAUCUAUAACACUUGAAUGUUGUUUGAUGAGAAAUCUUGUCUUUUUCUUUUUCAGUGGAGUCCAAAUGACAAUCUUCCUUUGGCCAAAUCCACUGUAAUGAAAAUCAAAAUCAAAAAUGCGAAAAUGCUCUGCCCUUCCUGACUUCCUCCCUUGUCCAUUUUUUUUCCGCGAGAAAAAGAAAACUAGGUACUAUCCCUUCCUUCAACUCAAUUGUUUAACUUUAAAAUAGGAAAAUAUUCAAAAAAAUAUUUGCGCGCGAAAGUUUGCGUGCGAAAGUGUAUGGCUUCUUGUCCCCACGCUCUACCGCUUUGUUCAUUUUGCUUACGUGAAAAAGAGAAACAUUUGAAUUUGCAUAUGUGAAUGCAGUCCUUUUAUAAGUUCAAUCCCAUUUUUCACAAUUCCCGUCCGUUGAUCAACUCACCAAGCCAAAAUGAAAUUGUCGGUUGAUUUCCUGGCCGCGUCCACUCCCUCGUCGUCCGUUUGUUUUCUGUUUGGACGCCAAGCCAAACUCCUACAUUCGCCAUCGACCUUUGUGGUGUGAAUGGGUUGGUCGCUGUCCAUUGACCAAAUCUAAUAGGAAAACGACAAGUUCAAGAUGACACGCCCAUUCAAAAGAACAAAUACAAUUUACCGUUAUCCAUCCGUCGUCAUAACAAGCGGCCAAACAUUUUGUCCUUUCGUCCCAUGCCACAUUUGUUAUAUAGUCCUUAAUCAAAUUAUAAAAAAAAGUUAUCUAGAAUGUGCAAUGACAUGUCAAUGGAUAAACAAAACUCACGCUUUCA
Molecule: long non-coding RNA, 3636 nt
Organism: Daphnia pulex (common water flea)
Lineage: Eukaryota; Metazoa; Arthropoda; Branchiopoda; Diplostraca; Daphniidae
Exons: 7
Source: RefSeq, a predicted model, not a curated record